GAUGAACGCUAGCGGCAGGCUUAAUACAUGCAAGUCGAGGGGCAACAGGGGUAGCAAUACCUGCUGGCGACCGGCAAACGGGUGCGGAACACGUACAGAACCUUCCUUUAAGUUGGAGAUAGCCCGGAGAAAUCCGGAUUAAUACCUAAUAGUAUUAUGGUGUGGCAUCACAUUAUAAUUAAAGCCUUGGCGCUUAGAGAUGGCUGUGCGUAUGAUUAGGUAGUUGGNGCGGGUAACGGCCCACCAAGCCUUCGAUCAUUAACUGGUGUGAGAGCACGACCAGUCACACGGGCACUGAGACACGGGCCCGACUCC
Molecule: ribosomal RNA, 315 nt
Filed under: uncultured bacterium
Lineage: Bacteria
Description: bacterial SSU rRNA
Rfam family: Bacterial small subunit ribosomal RNA
Source: RNAcentral